RNAcentral lists this long non-coding RNA (370 nucleotides) under Nicotiana benthamiana. RNAcentral's name for it is "long non-coding RNA (NBEN_LNC005908)". Lineage: Eukaryota; Viridiplantae; Streptophyta; Magnoliopsida; Solanales; Solanaceae. The record is from RNAcentral.
UCUUGCUAGACUGGUGGAGGAGUCUUCCAUCAAAUGGCCAAAUUAAUGAGUGGAAAGAGAGGACUACCAAAGCUAGCAAAAAGUUGGAAUAUCUGGAGUACAGUCUUCUGGAAUUGGAAGGAAAAGUGAGGAAAAGAGUCACCGACUGCCAGAACGCUGAGGGAAACGAAGGAGAACACUUGGCAAAGGAAUUUUUACUGGUGAACCUGCGAAUUGGAGGAUUUAGUCAACGAGAGCAUUCAACCAGAGGAAGGUCCUUCUGGGACCAAGUAGAUAGGAGUCUUUUCUUUUUUCUUUAAAAAAUGUAAUAAGGCCAAUGGCCACUAGUGACAUUUUGUUUCUUGUUGUUUAGUGUCGUUUUGGGAUUCAC